Long non-coding RNA from Cyprinus carpio carpio, 546 nucleotides. NCBI's taxonomy places the organism in Eukaryota, Metazoa, Chordata, Actinopteri, Cypriniformes, Cyprinidae. The record is from Ensembl.
UAAAGAUGUGCUGAAGUCCUUCUUAAGUGGGUCAAAAACUAAUUUGAGUGGUUUUCUAGGGUGUUACUAGAAUGUUGAAGGUAGUUGCUAGGGUGUUACUAGAGUGUUGAAGGUAGUUGCUAGGGUGUUACUAGAGUGUUGUAGGUGGUUGCUAGGGUGUUACUAGAGUGUUGCAGGUGGUUGCUAGGGUGUUACUGUGCUAGGGUGUUAGUAGAGUGUUGUAGGUAGUUGCUAGGGUGUUACUAGAGGGUUGUAGGUAGUUGCUAGGGUGUUACUGUGCUAGGGUGUUACUAGAGUAUUGUCGGUGGUUGCAAGGGUGUUACUAGAGUGUUGUAGGUGGUUGCUAGGGUGUUACUGUACUAGGGUGUUACUAGAGUGUUGUAGGUAGUUAAUAGGGUGUUACUAGAGUGUUGUAGGUGGUUGCUAGGGUUUUUCUGUGCUAGGGUGUUACUAGAGUGUUGCAGGUGGUUGCUAGGGUGUUACUGUGCUAGGGUGUUACUAGAGUGUUGUAUGUGGUUGCUAGGGCAUGGCUAGAGUGUUGUAGGU